This 257-nucleotide long non-coding RNA is filed under the name Elaeis guineensis (African oil palm). RNAcentral's name for it is "long non-coding RNA (EGUI_LNC021499)". Lineage: Eukaryota; Viridiplantae; Streptophyta; Magnoliopsida; Arecales; Arecaceae. The record is from RNAcentral.
AUCUCACAUACAUAUACAUAUACGGUUUUUUAAUUGGUUCCAUUCGCUGACCUGGCCAAUUUAUUGACGUUCAAGAAAAGCAAUAGAAAGACUUCCACCAAUCUUAUUUAACACUUUUCUGGCCAAUUAGAUUAAUUCGAAUCUUGAAUUCGGAUUGCUUGAUGUUGAAAAAUCACUACUUAUUACCUUCCUUCACGCUAAGAUGAUUAUUAUUUUAAGAACCAUAGUAAGUUUGUUAUGCUAUCCAUAAGCUUACC